Long non-coding RNA from Centruroides sculpturatus (bark scorpion), 962 nucleotides. RefSeq lists it as uncharacterized. The transcript is spliced from 3 exons. The record is from RefSeq and is a predicted model, not a curated record. Lineage: Eukaryota; Metazoa; Arthropoda; Arachnida; Scorpiones; Buthidae.
AUCACUAAUAUUUUUAACCACAGCUAAUCGGAGACAUAUUAAAGUAAAUUAUUUCUGUAAAAGAUUUUUAAAUUGCAUUUAUAUCUUCAUGAUUUUUUUAUCCUUGCAGUAAUGAAGAGCACUAGUGUAAGUACAGAUUGAAAUGGGAAUCCAACUUCGGACUGAUGUAAAACCAAUAUAGAAAUUGAACGUCGUUAUUGUAUAUAUUUGUUUCAUUUACUUAAAUAAUAAAUAAAUAAUAGCAAUAUGAUUUAAUGGAAUUAAAUCUAUAUAUUUUCAAACUGCCUUUUGUAAAUCAUGCGCAUCAGCACGAACCUGUCAAUCUUAACGGCAUCCUUAAGACACGAUUACGCAUUAUGAAAUUUAAUAUACAAUACUCUUCUACCUACAAAUCAAACAUGUGUCUGGAAAGCGGAAGAAUAAAUUGAUACUUAUAUAAGGAAGUGGACAGAAUUCUUGUAAUUCGAAAACGCACAUUCAAUCCGCCUUUGUCUAUUCAAGGUAUUGCAGACUACAAUUCAUUCUGCGUAUUGCAAAGAUUACCUCGAAUAAUUAUUUUCAGCUAAUUAUUCUUAUCAUUAUUUAAUAAAUAUGAUACGAAUGUUUUCAACACCUACGGGUGUAAGAUUAGAAAAGGAAGUAUGUGUGCGCUGUUUGCUAUCUUCAUUUACAUCAGUCGCAAUAGUGUACGGAUGGGACUUUUUUAUGCCUUGUUCCUGUGUGGCAAAACCAAACCCUUACUUGCAGAAACUUAUAAACUUUUACAUUUCCUUUAUUGAAAUAGUUUAUUGGGUGCAUGCCGUUCUCGUUGUUUGUAUGGCAAUUCCUUAUAUAUCGGACAUAACGCCUUGCUAUUCCUGGUACGCGAUCGUCAACUAUGACCUAUAUGGCAGACUCGUCCUUGCCGUUCUCGAUUUGGCUAUUGCUAUACUAUUCAGCAUUGCCAAAAGAGUCAAAUUGAG